GGUUUACUGUGGUUUACGUGUGGUUUACGUAUAGAAGAAAGUUUUCGCCUAUUGGAGGCACGGGUCCUUCGUCGGACGCUGGCUGGGGAUGUAUGCUGCGAUGCGGGCAGAUGAUGCUGGCCCAAGCACUGAUCUGCAGACACUUAGGGAGAGAUUGGCAAUGGGAAAAACAC
This is a non-coding RNA of Anas platyrhynchos (mallard), 173 nucleotides long. The record is from RefSeq and is a predicted model, not a curated record. Lineage: Eukaryota; Metazoa; Chordata; Aves; Anseriformes; Anatidae.